UACGGAGGAUCCGAGCGUUAUCCGGAUUUAUUGGGUUUAAAGGGUGCGCAGGCGGAAGAUUAAGUCGGUGGUGAAAUUUUGCAGCUCAACUGUAAAAGUGCCAUUGAUACUGGUUUUCUUGAGUGUGGAUGAAGUAGGCGGAAUUUGUGGUGUAGCGGUGAAAUGCAUAGAUAUCACGAGGAACUCCGAUUGCGCAGGCAGCUUACUAAACCAUAACUGACACUCAGGCACGAAGGCGUGGGGAUCAAACAGGAUUAGAUA
This 261-nucleotide ribosomal RNA is filed under the name uncultured prokaryote. RNAcentral describes it as "partial 16S ribosomal RNA". It matches the Rfam family "Bacterial small subunit ribosomal RNA", at positions 524 to 784 of the family's 1533-position model. The record is from RNAcentral.